GAAAAAUGGAGCGGUAACCAAUUACAAAAACGGGAGGAGUCGAAAAUCCAAAAGAGUAGAAAACUA
Regulatory RNA element from Leadbetterella sp., 66 nucleotides. It matches the Rfam family "DUF805 RNA". The record is from Rfam. Lineage: Bacteria; Pseudomonadati; Bacteroidota; Cytophagia; Cytophagales; Leadbetterellaceae.